AACGUAGGAGGCAAGCGUUAUUCGGAUUUACUGGGCGUAAAGCGCGUGUAGGCGGUUUGGAAAGUUGGAUGUGAAAGCUCCUGGCUUAACCGGGAGAGGUCGUUCAAUACUUCCAGACUUGAGGAUGAGAGAGGAAAGUGGAAUUCCGGGUGUAGUGGUGAAAUGCGUAGAUAUCCGGAGGAACACCAGUGGCGAAAGCGGCUUUCUGGCUCAUUACUGACGCUCAGACGCGAAAGCUAGGGUAGCAAACGGG
RNAcentral lists this ribosomal RNA (253 nucleotides) under uncultured bacterium. Its description in RNAcentral is "partial 16S ribosomal RNA". It matches the Rfam family "Bacterial small subunit ribosomal RNA", at positions 524 to 776 of the family's 1533-position model. The record is from RNAcentral.